RNAcentral lists this ribosomal RNA (440 nucleotides) under uncultured bacterium. RNAcentral describes it as "partial 16S ribosomal RNA". It matches the Rfam family "Bacterial small subunit ribosomal RNA", at positions 338 to 795 of the family's 1533-position model. The record is from RNAcentral.
CCUACGGGAGGCAGCAGUGGGGGAUAUUGCACAAUGGGGGAAACCCUGAUGCAGCGACGCCGCGUGUGGGAAGACGGUCCUCUGGAUUGUAAACCACUGUCCCCAGGGACGAAGAUGACGGUACCUGGGGAGGAAGCUCCGGCUAACUACGUGCCAGCAGCCGCGGUAAUACGUAGGGAGCGAGCGUUGUCCGGAAUUACUGGGUGUAAAGGGAGCGUAGGCGGGGAUGCAAGUUGGGUGUCAAAACUACCGGCUCAACUGGUAGUCGCACUCAAAACUGCAGCUCUUGAGUGAAGUAGAGGGAGGCGGAAAUUCUAGUGGAGCGGGGAAAUGCGUAGAUAUUAGGAGGAACAACAGGGGCGAAGGGGGCCUGCUGGGCUUUUACUGACGCUGAGGCUCGAAAGUGUGGGGAGCAAACAGGAUUAGAUACCCCGGUAGUC